AGAGUUUGAUCCUGGCUCAGGAUGAACGCUAGCGGCAGGCUUAACACAUGCAAGUCGAGGGGUAACGAUAGUGCUUGCACUAGGCGACGACCGGCGCACGGGUGAGUAACACGUAUGCAACCUACCUUUAACAGGGAGAUAGCCCAGAGAAAUUUGGAUUAAUAUCCCAUAAUAUUAAGAUUUGGCAUCAGGUUUUAAUUAAAGCUCCGGCGGUUAAAGAUGGGCAUGCGGGACAUUAGCUAGUUGGUAAGGUAACUGCUUACCAAGGCAACGAUGUCUAUGGGGUCUUAAAGGAUGGUCCCACACACUGGUACUGAGACACGGACCAGACUCCUACGGGAGGCAGCAGUGAGGAAUAUUGGUCAAUGGACGCAAGUCUGAACCAGCCAUGCCGCGUGAAGGAAGACGGCCCUACGGGUUGUAAACUUCUUUUAUAUGGGAAUAAUGUGAGCUACGUGUAGCUUUUUGAAGGUACCAUAUGAAUAAGCAUCGGCUAACUCCGUGCCAGCAGCCGCGGUAAUACGGAGGAUGCAAGCGUUAUCCGGAUUUAUUAGGUUUAAAGGGUGCGUAGGCGGGAUAAUAAGUCAGUGGUGAAAGCCUGCAGCUUAACUGUAGAAUUGCCAUUGAAACUGUUGUUCUUGAGUAUAGUUGAGGUGGGCGGAAUGUGUAAUGUAGCGGUGAAAUGCAUAGAUAUUACACAGAACACCGAUUGCGAAGGCAGCUCACUAAACUAUAACUGACGCUAAUGCACGAAAGCGUGGGGAGCGAACAGGAUUAGAUACCCUGGUAGUCCACGCCGUAAACGAUGAUUACUCGUUGUGCGCGAUACACUGCGCGUGACUGAGCGAAAGCAUUAAGUAAUCCACCUGGGGAGUACGUUGGCAACAAUGAAACUCAAAGGAAUUGACGGGGGCCCGCACAAGCGGAGGAACAUGUGGUUUAAUUCGAUGAUACGCGAGGAACCUUACCUGGGCUUAAAUGUAGCGUGACUUUUCUAGAAAUAGAUUUUCUCUUCGGAGCAAGUUACAAGGUGCUGCAUGGCUGUCGUCAGCUCGUGCCGUGAGGUGUCGGGUUAAGUCCCAUAACGAGCGCAACCCCUAUCGUUAGUUGCUAGCAGGUAAUGCUGAGGACUCUAACGAGACUGCCACUGUAAGGUGAGAGGAAGGUGGGGAUGACGUCAAGUCAGCACGGCCCUUAUGUCCAGGGCUACACACGUGUUACAAUGGUCGAUACAAAGAGCAGCUACAUAGCGAUAUGAUGCCAAUCUCAAAAGUCGAUCUCAGUUCGGAUCGAAGUCUGCAACUCGACUUCGUGAAGCUGGAUUCGCUAGUAAUCGUAUAUCAGCAAUGGUACGGUGAAUACGUCCCCGGGCCUUGUACACACCGCCCGUCAAGCCACGGAAGUUGGGGGUACCUGAAGUUCGUAACCGCAAGGAUCGACCUAGGGUAAAACCGAUAACUGGGGCUAAGUCGGAACAAGGUA
Molecule: ribosomal RNA, 1482 nt
Filed under: metagenome
Description: bacterial SSU rRNA
Rfam family: Bacterial small subunit ribosomal RNA
Source: RNAcentral